GCCGGCGUGGUGGAAUAGGUAGACACAGCAGACUUAAAAUCUGCUGAUUUUGUAAUCGUGCCGGUUCAAAUCCGGCCGCCGGUA
Molecule: transfer RNA, 84 nt
Filed under: Olavius algarvensis spirochete endosymbiont
Lineage: Bacteria; Pseudomonadati; Spirochaetota; Spirochaetia; Spirochaetales
Rfam family: tRNA
About the family: Transfer RNA (tRNA) molecules are approximately 80 nucleotides in length. Their secondary structure includes four short double-helical elements and three loops (D, anti-codon, and T loops). Further hydrogen bonds mediate the characteristic L-shaped molecular structure. tRNAs have two regions of fundamental functional importance: the anti-codon, which is responsible for specific mRNA codon recognition, and the 3' end, to which the tRNAs corresponding amino acid is attached (by aminoacyl-tRNA synthetases). tRNAs cope with the degeneracy of the genetic code in two manners: having more than one tRNA (with a specific anti-codon) for a particular amino acid; and 'wobble' base-pairing, i.e. permitting non-standard base-pairing at the 3rd anti-codon position.
Source: Rfam by way of RNAcentral